This is a small nucleolar RNA of Mesocricetus auratus (golden hamster), 128 nucleotides long. NCBI's taxonomy places the organism in Eukaryota, Metazoa, Chordata, Mammalia, Rodentia, Cricetidae. The record is from Ensembl.
GUGCACAUUUGCUUGUCUUUUUUCUUCACAUCAAGAAAAAAGAUAUUUCUGAUGUGCUAAAUAAACCUUUGGAGGUAAUUAGCAGCAUGACUACUUUUGCCACUGCUGUCAGUCACCUUCAGAUAAGC